GGCUCGAUGGUGAAACGGACAUCAUGUCUCGCUUCUAACGAGAUGCUCCAGGUUCAAAUCCUGGUCGGGCUGC
RNAcentral lists this transfer RNA (73 nucleotides) under Lignipirellula cremea. RNAcentral describes it as "Planctomycetes bacterium Pla85_3_4 tRNA-Arg". It matches the Rfam family "tRNA". From Rfam's summary of the family: Transfer RNA (tRNA) molecules are approximately 80 nucleotides in length. Their secondary structure includes four short double-helical elements and three loops (D, anti-codon, and T loops). The record is from RNAcentral. Lineage: Bacteria; Pseudomonadati; Planctomycetota; Planctomycetia; Pirellulales; Pirellulaceae.